UCACAUAUCGACAACCAGUAAACUACAACUCACUAUCCUAACAAAAGGAAAGCUAUGUCGGUCCGUAUACUCCGUAGUUUUCGCACAUGGAUGCAUAUCAUGAUGAUCAUAUAAGAAUGCAUGAGGUUUCAAACAAUGGGUGGGGAAACAGGUGCGGUACUAGACUAAAAAUGAGUCUAGCCAUUCAGAGUUAGCAAAGAGUGGUAAAAGUGAUGCGAACAAAACUCUGAAUGUAUGAUCCAUUACAUGAUUCUCAAGCCCCUAAGUGAGAUAAAUUAAGUCCAGAUUAAGUUCAAGUAUAUAAGAUUAAGCUCAAUUCAUCCAAAUUUCAAAGAGAUAGGGACUACUAUAAAGCGAUCAAGUGAUGGAUUUUCCUGAACUUCCAAGUCAUCAGCGAGUAAAGCUAAAAUGGUCCCAAAGGCAAUUAAAUCAAACAUGGUGCAAUUCCCUAAGAAAAGAUCAUAGUUCUCAGACAACAUUUUGACUCAAUAAAAGACAUGAUUUUGACUCGAUAAAACAAACUCGAUGACUCAAAAGAAAAACAUCAAAAAUGCAAACUAGAUUAGUAGACAAGUGGCAGCCUCCCCCCGACUUGCUUCACACCGACUCGGCGUGAAAACAGUUCAAAGAAAAGGUGCCACACGGACGCAAGAAAAUAAAAAUAAAGAGAAAAGAAAAAUGGUAUAUAACAAGGGAAGAGGGUGAGUUACUGUAGUACUCAACGGUGGUGGGUGGGGCUCUCGCUAGAGCUCUGCUCCCCUGGCUGUCUCCUGCUCCUGCCUAAGCGUGUGUCUGGAGAAUGCUCUUGUGAACGCUGCGAAGUCGAAGCUCUACUCUGUCCAGCAGCAGGGAUCAACCUCUCAGCAUGUCGAUCCCCGGCAACGGCGCCAACUUGAUUGCUCGAGUAAUUAACUCAAUACACUUAACCGAUAGGCAGUAUAUUCGAGGUCGAUCCACAAGGACCAAAGAUACUCUAAGGAUUUUCGAGACUUGUUCUUAGCUAAAACUAAAAAGUUGUUUUGUUUGAGUUUUCCGAAUUGUAAAAUAAAAAUGCAAUUAUUAAACGAUUUAAGUUUCAAGAUUUAAAGACAUUAGGCAUUAGGGUAUUUCAGAGAUCAAUAAACAAUGGAAACAUGGGACAAAGAAUUCAACAAUUACGAACCGUUCUUGAACAUGAACACAACUUAGACUAAUUCUCUUUCAAGACAUUAAUCACUAAAUUUGACUACUCGAUUACUAAACUUUCGCAUGUAAUUUCCUAGUCAAAUUCGCAUUAUCAAACAAGUUCAUUUAGUUCACAAUGCGUCCUAACUUCAACUUUCGUUGGCUAGAAAUACAUUGCUCAAUUCACAUUCUUUCAGGCAUUCUAUCGAACACUUUUGAUGCAUAGAAAAACCUAGGUUCUACAACAGGGUGAUCAAUCCUAUUCUAGCAUUAAGAACAUGUGAAUCAAAGAACCUAGAGAAUGAGAAUUCCAAACAACAAUUAAUCCAUUAAUCUAUCGAAUCUCCUAAUUAGAACCCUAACACCUAAUUAAAAGACUACUCACACAUAGCAACAGAAACAAGACAAAUAGAUGAAGAAGUCAUAAUUGAAUUGCAAUGAAAAUAAGAAAUAGGGUUUAGAAAUCUUCUCCAAAUUGUCAAAGAGGAUGAAUCUCUAGAAUCCCAAGGUUGCUUACAAGAGAAAAGUCUUAGAAAAAUUGCAGAAAGAAAACGUCCCAAAGAAAAUUAGGUCUCUGGGGUUUUUAUACCCAAGUACAAAAAAAGGAAGACAAAACCCGGUUUAGGAAAACCGUCUCGGGACGUCGAGGCUCGGAUCGAUCGAUCCCAUGGGUGGAUCGAUCGAUCCAGAUAUGCUGAAUCAAUUGGUCUUGGACGGAUGAGGGUUGGAUCGAUCGAUCCCCUCCUGGGAUCUAUCGAUCUCGAGCUACUGGAACUUUUGGCUUCAUCGUCACAAUUGGGAUCGAUCGAUCCACGCCUUGGAUCGAUCGAUCCCCAGCUCCUGGUGAUCUCUUGUACCGUUUCUCCAUUGUUUUAGCUCCGAAUAGGCUCAAUCAUGCACAAGAUGCUCCGAAUCCAGCUCGAGCACCUAUAACCUGCAAAGGACUCAAGACACAACCGAAAAGACGCAAAAGACGGAUUUUGACACGAUAGAUGACUCAAAACAUGGACUAAACCAAGACUCGAAACCGUUAAAAACGCAACACAUCAAACUCCCCCCGACUUAAAUCUUUGCUUGUCCUCAAGGAAAGCAGAAAUCCUUAUCAAGAGAAGAGGUUUGAAAACACGAGAACUCACAUUUUCUUCGGGAUCAUGUUCUAUCAAUUGCCUGCAAACCACUAUCACACAACUCAUCAAACCGUACUAGACUGUACUUCGCCAUAACCGUAGCAACAAAAUUAAGUCCCGAAAUCUAAAAGAAUUUUCAGAAUCAGAUAACUUAACCUUUUAACAUUCAUUAGCAGUGGCGUGUAUUCUCACAAAGGGGGUAUCGAACACGUUAUGGGCUUGGUCAAAAAGGGCUAAUAUUUAGUGGCUCAAGGUGUUUCGGGUACUCAACAGUAUAAACGGAUGCACGUCAUUAUGCGAAAUCACAGUGAGACACAGACCAACUAGGAGGUACAUAGCUUCCCUUAAGCUCGGAUCAAAUCAACAAACAUAUUAUCCCAAUCAAACCAAUGACUACCCAUGAUGCUUAACAAUAUAACCAAUGGUAACUCGACAUUUCCGGUUCCAAUCACUCUCCUUUCCCGCUUCUUCUUUUCAUUUUCGUUUUUUUUUUUUUUUUUUUGAAGCGGGGGAGUGGAACCGGUGUCUCACAAAAAUCUGCAUCAAGAACAAUCGCAAACAGCAGCAUACACCCAUGAAUAUAACCUCUAAACCACAAUGGCUCAAUCUCAUCACAUAUCGACAACCAGUAAACUACAACUCACUAUCCUAACAAAAGGAAAGCUAUGUCGGUCUGUAUACUCCGUAGUUUUCGCACAUGGAUGCAUAUCAUGACGAUCAUAUAAGAAUGCAUGAGGUUUCAAACAAUGGGUGGGGAAACAGGUGCGGUACUAGACUAAAAAUGAGUCUAGCCAUUCAGAGUUAGCAAAGAGUGGUAAAAGUGAUGCGAACAAAACUCUGAAUGUAUGAUCCAUUACAUGAUUCUCAAGCCCCUAAGUGAGAUAAAUUAAGUCCAGAUUAAGUUCAAGUAUAUAAGAUUAAGCUCAAUUCAUCCAAAUUUCAAAGAGAUAGGAACUACUAUAAAGCGAUCAAGUGAUGGAUUUUCCUGAACUUCCAAGUCAUCAGCGAGUAAAGCUAAAAUGGUCCCAAAGGCAAUUAAAUCAAACAUGGUGCAAUUCCCUAAGAAAAGAUCAUAGUUCUCAGACAACAUUUUGACUCAAUAAAAGACACGAUUUUGAUUCGAUAAAACAGACUCGAUGACUCAAAAGAAAAACAUCAAAAAUGCAAACUAGAUUAGUAGACAAGUGGCAGCCUCCCCCCGACUUGCUUCACACCGACUCGGCGUGAAAACAGUUCAAAGAAAAGGUGCCACACGGACGCAAGAAAAUAAAAAUAAAGAGAAAAGAAAAAUGGUAUAUAACAAGGGAAGAGGGUGAGUUACUGUAGUACUCAACGGUGGUGGGUGGGGCUCUCGCUAGAGCUCUGCUCCCCUGGCUGUCUCCUGCUCCUGCCUAAGCGUGUGUCUGGAGAAUGCUCUUGUGAACGCUGCGAAGUCGAAGCUCUACUCUGUCCAGCAGCAGGGAUCAACCUCUCAGCAUGUCGAUCC
Molecule: long non-coding RNA, 3777 nt
Filed under: Arabidopsis lyrata
Lineage: Eukaryota; Viridiplantae; Streptophyta; Magnoliopsida; Brassicales; Brassicaceae
Description: long non-coding RNA (ALYR_LNC003322)
Source: RNAcentral